UGCUUGCACAAAGAAUGGAUUUUCUUGGACUUGGAUUUUCUCCUUAGUGGCAAACGGGUGAGUAACACGUGGGUUACCUACCUCCAAGAUGGGGAUAACAGUUGGAAACGACUGAUAAUACCGAAUGUGCUCUACGGAGUAAAGAAGCCUUUAAAGCUUCGCUUGGAGAUGGGCCUGCGGCGUAUUAGCUAGUUGGUGGGGCAACGGCCUACCAAGGCGACGAUGCGUAGCCGAACUGAGAGGUUGAUCGGCCACACUGGGACUGAGACACGGCCCAGACUCCUACGGGAGACAGCAGUUAGGAAUAUUCGUCAAUGGAGGAAACUCUGAACGAGCAAUGCCGCGUGAACGAUGACGGCCCUAUGGGUUGUAAAGUUCUGUUGUUUGGAAAGAACGAUAUAUAGAGGAAAUGCUAUAUAUGUGACGGUACCAUUCAAGAAAGCCACGGCUAACUACGUGCCAGCAGCCGCGGUAAUACGUAGGUGGCGAGCGUUAUCCGGAUUUAUUGGGCGUAAAGGGUGCGCAGACGGUUUAUUAAGUCUAAAAUCAAAUCUUGGGGCUCAACCCCAUUCCGUUUUAGAAACUGGUAGACUCGAGUAUGGUAGAGGCAAAUGGAAUUCCUAGUGUAGCGGUGGAAU
RNAcentral lists this ribosomal RNA (638 nucleotides) under uncultured bacterium. RNAcentral describes it as "bacterial SSU rRNA". It matches the Rfam family "Bacterial small subunit ribosomal RNA", at positions 56 to 687 of the family's 1533-position model. The record is from RNAcentral.